AAAAAAAAAAAAACGAGUGGGGGUGGGUUCAGGUUAAGGGUGGUUUAGGGAGGAGUGAGGGUGGGUUUCGAGGUGGUUCAGGAUGAUGGGGUGUUGGUUCAGGAUGGUGGUUCAGGAUGAUGGGGUGGGUUUCGGGUUGGUUCAGGGUGACAACGGGUUCGAUUUUUCAGCUGGUUUAGGGUAGGGAGUGGUUUUCUUGGGUGAAUCGUGGGCGAGUGAGGCUGGUUUCAGGUGAGGGGGGAUUUCGCGGUGGUUCUUUGUGGUGGUUCAUGUUCAUGUGAGUGGGGGUAGUUUUAGGGUGGUUCAUGAUUCAGUGGUGGUGGGUUCGAGUUGGUUCAAGGUCAGUGGGCUGGGUUUGUGCUGGCUAUAGGGUGGCCGGUGCCGAUGAGGGUGGUGGUGGUCCCUUUGCUUAUUAAAGCAGCAAAGACUUCUGAAGAUAACAAGUCAUGGAGUCAUGACACUCAAGCUAAGCUGGGUAGUAGUCGUCUGAUUGAGUUGCUGAUAGACACAGCUUAUGUUCAGCAUCCAAGUAACAAGUCAGCUGACAACCCACCUGAUGUAUGACCUGCGUUUAGGCAUCAAUUCAAAAUUUUGAACAAUGACGUAGGGCUAUGCGAAGAUGCCGCCGUAUGAGAGUGUGAUGACGGAUUUCUUCUGGAAUGUUGUCGCGAGAAGAGAAGUGAUGGAGAAUGAGGAAAGUGAAGAGAAUAGUAAAUUGGUGGAUAACAUUGGUUGCUGAUGAUGAAAUGCAGAAUAAAUUUGUUACAGUAGGUGACAGUUUCUUCUUCUUCUUUCCCCUGCCCCCAAAAAAGUUCAAGAAAUUGGAGGUUUUAAUUAUUUCAUUGGAUAGGUGAUAGUACAGACUGGUGAACAAUUAGGCUUUUUCUUUAUUUUUUUUUCAAUGAAUUUUUUUUGUUGUUGUUGUUGAUGAUGUUCUUUUUUUUCUUUUUCUACCUGACUAGUGUUUCUUUUGUUUGUGGAGACAUUAUUAGUUGGGUGUUGGAUAUCAAAUGAUGUAUAUUCCAUCUUGGCUUUGGAAUUGAGGUUUUAUCUGAAAUACUCUUGAAAUGGGUUGUCAACGAAAAAGGGAGGGUGCUUUGAUGUUUUAGGAAGUGUUUAGUUUGUUCUUUCUUUACAAGUUUUGUAAUCUUCUUUCCUAAGGAAAUUUUAAAACAUGUGUCUAUUUUGGGCACCUUAUAUCAAUGAAUUUGUCCAUUUAGUCUAUCCAAUUCUUCGCGCCUUUUUCCUACUUAUUUUGCACUGAUAGUGUGUUUUUAGUUGAUUUUUACAAGUAUUGCUGCUUGGACUUUAUUGGCAAAUGAACCAUGGUUCUGGAUACAUGGAUGGAACUAGCCUUUAGGUUGAUUGUCUAAAGCACAUACUCUGUAUUAGGUUUCAACUCGUCAUUUAUUCAGAAUCUUGGGCACAGUGAGGCCCCUCAGUUCUUGUUGGCUUGCACUAGCGGCUUAUUGAUGCAUUUACUUAAACUGAUUAGAAUCGCUAUCACUGAUGGAUGCAAAAGUGUUGAAUUUUUUGUCUGUUGAAUUCAGUUUGAAUCUAUUAGGAGGUUUGGGUAUCAUCCAGUUUAUACAGAUAACUGGCUCCUUGGAUAUUAGAUGCAGAGUGAACUAUUGACCUAGUUUCCUGUACUGGUUUGAAGCCUUUAUAAGCGUACCAUGGUGGACAUUGUUUUGUGUGUGGUUACUAACUAGAUUUUCCGGUCAAAAAGUUUGCCCUAGUGUUUUUUCUUCAGAUAUUAAAUUGAAUUGUUAUGUUGAAUUAAUUAUGUACCAUGUCUAAGAUAAUGCACCACAACUUUAUAGUUUUUGUGGAUACUUAACUUCAAACAAACUUAAACUUUUGGUGCAUGCAUUCUCAGGCUGAAGGUAGUGUAUGCUGAUAAUGAUGUUAUUUUGAUGACAUUUUGCAUUCUGUAUCAAGCUUUGGUUAAACUCUGUGUAGUAUUCCUAAAGCGGAAAGGCAAGGGGUUUUAUUAUUUAUAUUUUGUUUUGGUGAAAAUUUGGCUCACUUGGUCAAUUGUGGAUGUGAUGAGCCAGUGGUUAGUUAUUCCUGUUAUAUAAACUAGUUGUUUUACCCAAUCUCGAUGAAUUUCAAUGUGCUGCAUGGACUUAAUCUUUUCAGAUGUCUAUUUCAUUUGGCCUAAAAGAAUGAACCCCAUCUCUGUUACAUUUUACUAUUCCAACUUCCUACAAUGAAAGUAAUUUUUGCUUGGAACCUUGAAUAGUGAGCAAUUGGUACGAUGUGGAGAUUGCUUGGUAAGUUUUACAUUCCUUUAUGACUCUAAGCCUCUGUUACUUGAAUGCUUGAUUUGAUUCUCAAUUUUGUCAUUGUGGUUUCUGUGACCAGAAAAUGCUCAACCUUGCUUCAAUGGACAUUUUGGAAUGUUGGAUGACUUGUGAUAGUUUGUUGUCUGACCUUUUCAUGAAUAUCAUGAUUAAAUCAUGCCAUCGUGGUGUCAUGUUUUGUUUAGUGGUUUAAUGACACUUCAUUGGUAAUUAGUGUUUUUUUCCCUGUGUGUGUGAAGUAGGUUGUGGAGUAGUAAUCAUAAGGUGUUUGGGUGAUUUUUUUUUUUUUUUUUUUUUUUUUGUGUGUGUGUGUGUGUGUGUGUGUGUGUGUCAGUGCAUGUGUGAGGUGAAGAAAUAUGACUAUCUAUGGUUGUUAGCCAGCCUUAGAUCUUUGAUACAGCAUAAGUGGAAGUAAUAUCAUCUAUUUGGAUCAGCAAAUAGUGAUUAUAUGUGUGCUGGGUCUGAUUAUGUUAUCUUUCUCAUCAGCAGCUUGCUUUUUUUUCGUAUGUACUUAAUUUCUUUCUGAACCACCAGAUAAUUGUGAAUUGUUCAAUUUCUAAAAUCCUUACUGUGGAUGAUAUGAAUUUAUUCUGUUUUGAAAUUUUUUUUUUUGCUCGUCUUAAAUUUUUUGGAAACUCAAGUUUUGGGGCUAGGAUGAGAGUCACUAUCAAUAAAAGCAACUAAACAUCUUAGUCCUCAUUUCCAGGAGUAUCUUUCUGAAUUUAGGGAUUCCUUAUUGUUGUUUAAUUAAGUUAAACACUAUAAUUGUUCGUGAAGUAUCUUACUAAAGAUUGGAUAAGGACAUAUAUAGUGUGGUGGGAUGUUGAUUGAGACUAAUUGAUGAAAAUAGACAUUUAUGAUUACCAUGUGAGACCCUCAAUGUACAAGGUGAAACCUUAGAAUUCCACUCAGCUCUGGAUUCCAGUGAUACGUAUAAAGGUAUUCUGAUUACUUAUAGCAUAAUAUGGUAUUUGAAAUGGAAGACAGUACAGUACAGUUACUCUGAUUAUGAAUUGCCAUCAUGGUUAAACAUCUUGGUAGGGUGGUUUAUUCUCUCAUUCUGAUUUUUUGAGGCAAUAUAUUGGGGCAAGUCUUUUCUUAAUCUUUUCUGGAUCAAUACCCAU
Molecule: long non-coding RNA, 3430 nt
Organism: Chenopodium quinoa (quinoa)
Lineage: Eukaryota; Viridiplantae; Streptophyta; Magnoliopsida; Caryophyllales; Amaranthaceae
Exons: 4
Source: RefSeq, a predicted model, not a curated record